This is a long non-coding RNA of Xenopus laevis (African clawed frog), 487 nucleotides long. RefSeq lists it as uncharacterized. The record is from RefSeq and is a predicted model, not a curated record. The transcript has 3 exons. Lineage: Eukaryota; Metazoa; Chordata; Amphibia; Anura; Pipidae.
GACAACAUGGAGGUCAUUUGUCUCCGUCACUGGCUGCUGCUAGUCACAAGGAUUAAUGCCUCAGCGGCUGUUUAUUAAUGUUGAAGAACAAAAGACAGAAAAUGAGGAGGAACAAGUUAAAAUCAAAGUACUGCACCUACCCAGUGAAUGCAGUAAAAAGAGCAAGAAAGGAGACCUUGUCAAUACACAUUAUGAUGCUUACCGAGCCAUAAUAUGACCAAAUUAUAUUGCAGAUAAAUCAAAUGUUUAAUACAGAUGAAGUUUUACUGCUAUCCAUGCAAUCUUCUGUAAUACAAACUGUUGUAUUAAGCUGGCUAUACAUAUCCAAUAGUCAGGAAAGUUGGCUCAUUUCAACCAUGUUACUGGACCAUCUGGGAAUGUACAGUAAGUCUCCGCAGUUUGACAAGCUAUCAUCUGACUGCCUGGGAUUGAAGUUGGCCUGUCCAAACAGGGAUGAGGCACCUGCUCAGUCAGUGGAUGGUGCACU